This 387-nucleotide ribosomal RNA is filed under the name Pannonibacter phragmitetus. RNAcentral's name for it is "bacterial SSU rRNA". It matches the Rfam family "Bacterial small subunit ribosomal RNA", at positions 87 to 508 of the family's 1533-position model. The record is from RNAcentral. Lineage: Bacteria; Pseudomonadati; Pseudomonadota; Alphaproteobacteria; Hyphomicrobiales; Stappiaceae.
CAAGAUGAGUGGCAGACGGGUGAGUAACACGUGGGAACAUACCCUUUGGUGCGGAACAACAGCUGGAAACGGCUGCUAAUACCGCAUGCGCCCUACGGGGAGAAAGAUUUAUCGCCGAAGGAUUGGCCCGCGUCUGAUUAGCUAGUUGGUGAGGUAAUGGCUCACCAAGGCGACGAUCAGUAGCUGGUCUGAGAGGAUGAUCAGCCACACUGGGACUGAGACACGGCCCAGACUCCUACGGGAGGCAGCAGUGGGGAAUAUUGGACAAUGGGCGCAAGCCUGAUCCAGCCAUGCCGCGUGAGUGAUGAAGGCCCUAGGGUUGUAAAGCUCUUUCAGCGAGGAGGAUAAUGACGUUACUCGCAGAAGAAGCCCCGGCUAACUUCGUGC